This 271-nucleotide ribosomal RNA is filed under the name uncultured bacterium. RNAcentral describes it as "partial 16S ribosomal RNA". It matches the Rfam family "Bacterial small subunit ribosomal RNA", at positions 87 to 354 of the family's 1533-position model. The record is from RNAcentral.
UCCGGCGACCGGCGCACGGGUGAGUAACACGUAUGCAACCUGCCCGUGGCAGGGGGAUAAGCGGGGGAAACCCCGUCUAAUACCGCGUAACGCGGCCUUGGGGCAUCCCAAGGCCGCCAAAGGGAGCAAUCCCGGCCACGGAUGGGCAUGCGGCGCAUUAGCUAGUCGGCGGGGUAACGGCCCACCGAGGCGACGAUGCGUAGGGGUUCUGAGAGGAAGGCCCCCCACACUGGUACUGAGACACGGACCAGACUCCUACGGGAGGCAGCAG